UCAGGCGCCUAGGCCCCAGCACAUCGCAUCUCCUCUAUUCUCCGGCCUUGGAGCAGCAGCUCGUGAUUUCAGCUCAAGGGCUCUAUGGAAGGGAGCAUUCGUCGAUGCUUUCCUGGCUAGAAUAAAGAAGAACAGAGAAAACAUGAAUGGGAAGAAGAUUUGGUCUCGUAGAUCUUCUAUUUUGCCGGAAUUUGUUGGUUCCACUGUGCUCAUUUACAAUGGGAAAAAUCAUGUCCGGUGCAAGAUCACUGAAGGGAAGGUUGGCCAUAAAUUUGGAGAGUUUGCUUUUACACAGAGACGAAGGCCCCAUCGAACAAUAACAGGAAAGGGAAAUCAAGGAAAGGGCAGAAAGUAAAAGUAGAAAUGUGCAUGAAAGGUGAGGUUGU
Zea mays is the source of this 386-nucleotide RNA transcript. RefSeq lists it as uncharacterized. The transcript is spliced from 2 exons. The record is from RefSeq and is marked validated. Lineage: Eukaryota; Viridiplantae; Streptophyta; Magnoliopsida; Poales; Poaceae.